This 76-nucleotide transfer RNA is filed under the name Acinetobacter baumannii. RNAcentral's name for it is "tRNA-Glu". It matches the Rfam family "tRNA". Rfam says of the family: Transfer RNA (tRNA) molecules are approximately 80 nucleotides in length. Their secondary structure includes four short double-helical elements and three loops (D, anti-codon, and T loops). Further hydrogen bonds mediate the characteristic L-shaped molecular structure. tRNAs have two regions of fundamental functional importance: the anti-codon, which is responsible for specific mRNA codon recognition, and the 3' end, to which the tRNAs corresponding amino acid is attached (by aminoacyl-tRNA synthetases). tRNAs cope with the degeneracy of the genetic code in two manners: having more than one tRNA (with a specific anti-codon) for a particular amino acid; and 'wobble' base-pairing, i.e. permitting non-standard base-pairing at the 3rd anti-codon position. The record is from RNAcentral. Lineage: Bacteria; Pseudomonadati; Pseudomonadota; Gammaproteobacteria; Moraxellales; Moraxellaceae.
GCCCCUAUCGUCUAGAGGCCUAGGACACCGCCCUUUCACGGCGGUAACAGGGGUUCGAAUCCCCUAGGGGACGCCA